AUAAAACUCCUUCAUCGUAGCUUCGAUGUAGCUCGUACGCCGCUACCUCUUCUUUCACUCGUCUUCGAUUCCUUUGAGAUUAACUCCAAAUCCUUUUAGCUCUCUCCCUUUCCUCAAAUCGCCUGAUCAUCAACUACUCCUAUAUGGUAAGAGACCCGUAAUCACCUUUUAAAAGAAGCUCGCGAGUUCUUCUUUUCCUUGAUGAUUGACGAAUCUUUGUCUCUCCUGUUGUAGGUGAUGAAUGAUUUGCUUAACCCCUGAGUUUGCUUGAAAUGGUAAUAUAAGUCUCUGUAUCAUGUGGUCUCUUAGAAGCUUUCCUAAUUGCUCUUUACACCUGUCUCCCUUCAGCUCUUGAUAAAGUUACUGUCUUUAUGCUAGUUGUUUAAGACUGUGUCUUAUGAACAAUAUCUUGCUUCUGUUUCAGCCGAGAUACUCGUCUCCCUUCAGCCUCCUAGCUGUUUAAGACGUUCUCUCCGGGUAGUCGUCAAUGUUUCUUCAUUGAGCUUUGUCAUCCGUUCCUCAUACCUUUUCUUCAGCUUCUCCACCUUGAGCUAAAGAUCCCUAUGCCUCGCCUCUCCUUCCCACAGGUAACGUAUCCCUAAACUUUUAAGUUUAUUCAUUGUUGCUAAGAAGUAACCGGAGCACUAACUCAAUACUUCUUCUUUGGCGAGAUUGCUACAAUGACGUUACCUGUGGCGCCUAGCUCUUUUAGGCGACGUUCAAGAGAUCACAACAGUGAUCAAAUUUAGGCCCGGGUAAGGCUUUCGUUAAGAAAUCUGCUGGAUUCUUACUAGUAUGGAUCUUAGAUAGGUGAACCUUGCCUUCUGCUACAACGUCUCUGAUGAAAUGGUAUUUAGUGUCUAUGUGUUUAGUUCUUUCGUGAUGAACAUGAUUCUUUGCUAGGGCUAUAGCACUUUGUGAAUCACAGUGAAUCUUAACACUUUCUUGUUCAAAACCUAACUCUGCACAUAUUCUUCUCAACCAAAUGGCUUCUUUCGCGGCUGCGGUAAGAGCCAUGUACUCUGCUUCAGUUGUCGAAAGAGCUACCACGUCUUGUAAGCUCGAUUUCCAACUCACUGUGUUACCCCAAACUUGAAACACGAAUCCUGUAACUGAUCUCCUUCGGUCGAGGUCAGUUGCAUAAUCAGAGUCACAAAAUCCUUCAAUACUAAACUUUGAGUGCUUAGUAAACGUGAGACUUCUUCUUGUAGCACCUUUUAGAUAUCGUAGAACCCAUUUUACGGCUGACCAAUGUUCUCUUCCUGGUUCUGACAUGAAACGGCUUACGAGUCCUACCGCGAAGCCCAGAUCAGGUCUUGAACCAACCAUAGCGUACAUGAGACUACCAACCGCACUUGCAUACGGUAUGUUCUCCAUGUGCCUUCCUUCUUCUUCCUUUUGGUCUUUAGUAAGACUUUUCAGUUUGAACUGAGUUGAGGUUGGCGUAGUCACUUCCUUAGCUUCAGACAUUCCAAACGAUUUUAGAACUUUCUCCAAGUAGUUCUCUUGCGAUAAUACUAAAGUUCCCUUUGUUCUGUCUCUUAUGAUAUCCAUUCCCAAUAUCCUUGAAGCUUUUCCUAAGUCUUUCAUCUCAAACUCUUUAUUCAAACUCUCCUUGACACGUCUGAUUUCUUGUUUAUCUCCAGAAGCUAUGAGCAUGUCGUCGACGUAUAGAAGUAGGUACACGGCUUGUUCUGAGUUCACGUUUCUCAUGUAAACACAUGGGUCUUCUUUGCUUCUUAUAAACUGUUGGCUUUUCAUGAAACAAUCAAACUUGAGAUUCCACUGCCUUGGAGAUUGUUUCAAACCAUAUAAUGACUUCUUUAAUAAGCAUACUUUAUUUUCAUCUCCUUUCUUUAUGAAUCCUUCUGGUUGAUUCAUUAGAAUUCUUUCUUCCAAGUCUCCAUGAAGAAAAGCUGUUUUAACGUCCAUCUGCUCUAGAUCAUAAUCUUUAUUGACCACGAGAGAUAACAUCAAUCUGAUCGACACAUGCUUCACUACAGGUGAAAACACUUCAUUGUAGUCGAUCCCCUCUUUUUGAGAAAAUCCCUGCGCCACCAAUCUCCCUUUAUACCUCGGUUCUUCAACUCCGGGUAUUCCAGGCUUUAACUUGAAGAUCCACUUGCUGCCUAUGACUUUCGCAUUCUCAGGUCUUUCAAUGAGUGUCCAAGUACGAGCUCUUUGAAGAGAAUCCAUCUCCUCUCCUGCAGCAUUCUUCCAAAACUUGCUUUUCUUGCUCAUCACGGCUUCCUUAUAAGACUUUGGCUCAUCGAUUUCAAUCUCUUCAGAGACAGCUAAAGCAUAAGCUGCGAAGUCAGAAUCUUCAAACCUAGAAGGUGGCUUGAUCGUCCUUCUAACUCUAUCUCGUGCAAGCAUAUAACCCUCGAGCUCCGGUUCUGCUUCUGAGUCUUUAUCUUCUUCUACAGAACUGGUUUCUUCUGAGCUUUCUGAUUCUUCUGUUUCAGUAGCUCCACCUUGAACCAAUGGUUCUUCAGUUGUAGUCGUAGGUAGUGUAGGGCCAUCAAUUAGGUUUUCCUUAAACGUCACUUUCUUUUUCUUCUUUUCUAAAUCUACAUCUUCUCGCUGGGUCACCGUGUGUUUAAACAUCUCUUCUUCAUUAAACACUACGUUCCUACUAGUGACACAUAUUCUCUCUUCAGACAGCCACACUCGAUAGCCUUUUACCCCGAAAGGGUAACCUACGAAGACGCCUUUUACGGCCCUAGGACUUGUCUUUCCCUGAAUCUUAUGAACAUAGGCAGAGCAGCCGAAACUCCUUAAGUGAUUCAACUCAGGUUUUACACCUGACCAUACUUCUUCUGGUAAACGGUAAUCAAUGGCAGAACUUGGUGAUCGGUUAACAAUGUAGACCGCUGUUGAUGCAGCUUCAGCCCAGAAGUCUUCGCCUAAUCCAGAUUCUGCGAGCAUGCAUCUCACCUUCUCCAUGAUUGUCCUGUUCAUUCUUUCAGACACACCGUUUUGUUGUGGCGUGUAUGGACAAGUCUUGUGUCUUUUGAUACCAGAAUCUUUGCAUAGUUUGUCAAACUGUUUAUUGCAAAACUCUAACCCGUUGUCUGUUCUAAGACACUUGAUUUUCUUCCCUGUGCUGUUCUCCACGGCUUCCUUCCAUUCUUUGAAUUUGCUGAAAGCUUCAUCUUUAGAUUUUAGGAAAUAAAUCCAAACCUUUCGAGAAUAAUCAUCUAUGAAGCUUAUAAAGUACUUGCAUCCCCCUAGACUCUCAGGGCUUGAUGGCGCGCCCCAUAGAUCAGAAUGUAUGUACUCCAAAACGCCUUUUGAAGUAUGUUUAGCCGUUGGAAAACUUUGUUUGUGAGACUUUCCUAGAACACAGGUCUCACAAAACUCUAGUUUAUCCACUUCUUUAUUAGACAAGUAACCAUCUUUCACGAGCACAUUCAGAUUCUUUAAGCUCAUAUGUAGGGAUGUCAAUUGGGUUCUCCCGUCCCGUCCCGUCCCGUACCGCUGCGGGUUCGUCUUCGGGCGGGAUACGGCGGGCCUGUCCCGCGCGGGAUGCGGUCUUGAAAAUAGCUGCCCAAUCCCGUACCGCAAUUUUUACAGGCCUUCGCGGGCCGUCCCGCGGGAUAUCGAAUAUUGCUCUGUUUUUAUUUUUCCUGCACAACAAACAUAAACAAGAAUGAGUUUCUGCAUGAAGAAACAACAAACAAGAAUGACUUGAUCAUAGCAAAGUCUCUUUCAUUCACGAAGGUUGUGUUACACUAGUUUUAUAUAUUCACGAAGAGCUAUUGAGAAUAAUCUUUCAGCUGAUAUGAAUGAUUGCACCAUUCUGUUAGACGUGAAUCCAUAAAGAAAAAGAAAAAAAAAACUAAUCUUUUGCUUCACUUGUCCUAUUUGUAACGUUUUCUUUAUCGUUGUGUUGGUAUAUAUUUCAUUGCAACAUGUUAUAUGCGUAUAUUAUCUAAAUGUUAGAACAUGAACUCAAACAUCAAGCCAAAAUAAAAAAAAAACAUAACAUGAACCCGUAGGUCAACUUCAUACAGCUCUUGUUGCUGACUUGAUAAUAGCAAAAUCUCUUUCAUGUUAUCUUAACCAAAACACCAAUGUGAUAAAGCAAAACACAAGAAAUCCCAUAUUUUAAUAAAGCAAAACACCAAAUCAAUAUAAAGCAAAACACCAAAUCAAACUUGAUCAUCUUCAUCUUCCCCAUUGAAGAUAGACUCAAAUGAUGGUAAUUUCUCUUCUUCACCAUCACCAUCGAUUUCUUCAUCUGCAAAUAUCAGAAACUUCUUUUACUAAGGAUAAUGGAUAAUGAUAAUUUUAAAAAAAAUUAUAAUGUGAGUUAUUUACCAUGUGCGUAAGAUUCGUAUCCCUUGAUCCAAUUUCUAGUGCAUAUCAGAGCUUGUACAUUUUUUGGGAGUAGACGGCUUCUAUAUUUAUUCAGAACUCGCGAUCCAAUACUGAAGGAGGACUCCGAAGCCACUGUUGUGAUUGGAAUACUUAGCAGAUCACAUGCCAUUGCAGCCAAGUCACCAUACCGAUGCGCAUUAUCUUUCCACCAAUCGAGGAUGUCCAAGCUCUGAAAAUUAGUAAUGUCCAAAGGUGGUUCUUCAAGAUAAGCUUCUAGAGGUGUCUUUCCACUCACAAUGCCACUGGUUUUGCGAAAUGCAAAGAAAUUCUAAGAAAGUUUUUUCAAAAAAAAAUAUUAGAGAGGAAAAAAAAAACAGAAAAUAAAAAAAAUUGAAAAACACUCACAUUGUAGUUCACAAACAGUCCCAUUGACCCUGCCGCACAUGCUUUUUGCGAAGCAGUCUCACGUGGCUCAGUGGAAGGUGAGUUAUUCUUGGAUUUUUUGUCGUAUGACUCAAACAAAAUACUCAGCUUGUCACGCAGAUUCUUCACCUUUGCAUCACGGGUACUCAUGUCAAGUUUCCCUAAACAACAUUCAACAAUUGAAAGCUUAAACCGUGGAUCGAAGACUGCUGCCAUUGCAAAAACACCACUGACUUCAUCCCAAUAUUUGUCGAACUUCUCUUUCAUCGGUGGAACCAUGUAUCUAACAGUCUCAUCUUCGCUUUCCUCAUUUUUCCGAAGCCAAUCAUGGAUCAUCCAAACCUGAUAGAAAUACAAGUUUGCAGUCGGGUAAUUCGAACCAGACAUCAAGCUUGUGAUCACAGCAAAAGGACCCAAAAAAUUGCAAAUAUUAUCUGCUCUAGUCCAUUCCUCAGCUGUGGGCGCCGUUUUAUAACCCUUCUUAUCAAAUGCCUCCAACUUAACAAAUGCUUUACGAUACUUGAUGGCUCUUUCAAGCAUAUAGUAAGUGGAGUUCCAUCUUGUCGGUACGUCCAGUAUUAGCCAUCCACUUUCUACUACACCCGCAGCAUCCACGCAUUUUUGGAACAACUGUUCACGCGUUUCCGAUCCUAAUACAUACUUAACACUGUCUCUUACUUUCUGCAAAGAGUCUCCAAUAACCUUCAGCCCAUCUUGCACUAUGAGGUUAAGUAUGUGAGCUGCACAUCUCACAUGAAAAAACUCUCCUCCACACAACAAAUCAUCAUUCAAAUUCAGCUGCGAUUUCACAAUAUCCUGCAUCGAGUCAUUACUUGAAGCAUUAUCUAAUGUGACUGAGAACACCUUUUUUUCAAUUCCCCACUCUUUCAGUGAUUCAAGGAGCUGAAGCGCAACAUUCAUACCGGUAUGUGGUGGUGGUAGAGCACAGAACGUCAGGAUUUUGCUGUUCAACUUCCAAUUCCGAUCAAUGUAAUGUGCAGUCACACACAUGUAUCCUUCCCGUUUCAAUGAUGUCCAUAAGUCAGAUGUGAAUGACACUCGUCCAGGAAGACUCCCUAAUUCUCUCUUGAGUGUUUCUCUCUCACUUUCAUAUAAUCGAUACACAUCUGCUCUUGCUGUGUUUCGACAAAUGGUUUGGACAUCAGCAUUCAAAUACGUCCAUGUGUCUCUAACUUUUUGAUACUCCACGUACGAGUAAGGUAGAUCAUGCUGGACUUUUGUCUUAGCUACCAUCUGCCUAAACACAAUAUGAUCAUACUUGCGAGAUAUUACUUUCCCCUCGGUAUUGAGUUGUUGCUGCCCUCCCGUACUCCUUGGAUACAUUUUACAUCUCCGCCGAUGUCUUCUCAACCCACUUGUUCCAUGCGAGUGAGAAUACCAUGCAUACUCAUUCUUGCAAUGAUUGCACACAGCUUUCAAAUCUCCAUUGGGUUUUUCAACCACCGUGAAAUCCUUCCAGACGUCUGAUCUUUGCCUAUUCUCCAUAUCCUCCAAAGCGUUUUCAGCCUCGUCCAACUCAUCUUCUUCCAGUUCAUCAUCAAAAUCUGGUAUCUCCUCAAUCUUUUUCUUAUUCUUUUGCGAUUGAGUAAACACAGCAGGCUGCUGCGAGUGGCGAGACUCGACCCUUUUCUUUUGGGAGUGAGGCACUGGCUUUCUUCUCCCACCACGAAUCACAGAUUUUAUAGGAACAGACUUCUUCUUACUACACGCCUGUGCGGACGAGCCAAUACCUCCAUCUAAAGUGGAUUGGAGCAUGGGUUUCCUAGAGGCUGUUCCAUAACUGGUCUUUCUGCGAGGCUUGGUUGUUUCGGUUGGUGGAGUGAUUUCAACAUCAGAAUCGUCAGUAUCAUCAGUAAGACUGAUAAGCUUUCUUUUCCUUCCUUGCUUCUUUCUGUCAGCACUACUUACACCACCUUCUGCGAACUGAUCAUCGACCUCCUCCAAUGCAGCAAGCGUAGCCAUAACUUGAUGAGUUCCCAAGUCCACAGUAUUUGGUGGGGAGUACUUCGGAUCAAACGUGAACUGUUCUUCUGAGUCGCUUAUUGAUCCCAUUCUCUCUCAAGGUUUUCUGUCGUAGUUUGUUUUUUCGAAAAUUCUAUUUUGAAACCUAAGUUACGGCUGCCUAAGAUACGUGUGUAGGGUUUUUAAAAUAUUAACAAUUAUUUAAAUUAAGUUUUGUUUAAAUUAUAAGGUAACUAAACGUGAGAAUGGGUUUCUCUAUUAAACGUGAGAGUUUCACACAACACAAAAGUACAGCGAAAGAACUACAUUCAUUCAUCAUCCACAACAAUUAUAAGAUUACAAAAAGUCUCUCUAUCUUCUUCAGAUCAGAGUAUCUCAUCUCUCUCUUCUUUGCUGCUGCUUGCAGUGCCGUUUUCACGAGUAUACGUGCAAUCCCUGCAAAAGGACUUGUGAAUCCUUUGAUUCCUCUUCCUCUCUCUUCUUCUCAGCUUCGUUGAUUCAAGAACUAAGCAACCUUCCAAAUUAAAUCACAAGCAAUGAGAAACAAAUUUAAACCAAGAACUAAGCAACGACAUCAAACCAAGAACUAAGCAACGACAACAAAUUUAAACCAAGUUCACAAGUCAGAGAUGGACCGGUAUAGCAUACAUUCAACAUCUAAAGUCUAAAACAAUGCACACAGGGGAAGUAAGAGAGUUUGUGAACGUACAGGCUUGUGAUUUUCUGGCUUGUUGAAUAUCAGACCUGAGGAUCAUCGAAGGCAAUCCCUUUCCUCGUUCCCUGCGCUGCUGCCUCUUCCACCUCUCUCAGCUUAACAAGCCUCUGUUUCAGCUCCUGCAACGAGAACCAACCUUCUUCUCUGGGUGCAAGGAGGCAACAUCUCUUCCAAAAUAAACAACAAUAUUAUUGAUCCUAUAUAUAAGCCCGUGCAAAUCCUAUGACAAUGUCAAUGUCUAGUUGCCAUUAAAAUGAAAUGGCACUAAUAGCGUGAGCAUGGUGAGUGAAGUUUCCUACGAUAUAUCAACACCCUUAGGUAAUAAAACAAAACAUCUUAAUCAUCACCUCAGCAAUGCCAAUGACUACACGUGAAAGAAACAUAUAGCUUCGUUGUGGACUUUGCUUAUCUAAUCUGAUAUGUCUAGAAAAUAUAAAUUAAAUUGACAGAUUAAAGAAGAGAAAAGAAAACCAUUUUUGUUACUAAUGAAAACCAGUCUAUAAAGGAAAUGAUGAGACGGUUUUGUUACCACUGGUGGCUUGUUUGACAUGUUCAUCAGGCUCAGUGUCAACGAUGAGAGUUUGCAAAAUCUCAAAACCGUAAGCAGACAUUGCCUUCUCGAGCUCCUCUUCAACAGCUUUGGCAAUUUCAUUCUUCUGCUCAAACAGACAAGUAAUAGUUAACAAUAAAACCAUCAAAGUUUCUAAUAGAACAGCUCAUAUAGUUUCAAACAUCAAGCCACAAUGAAAAACAGAACAUGAACUAAACAUCAAUUAAAAUCGACUAAAACCGAAGCUAAGCUAAGCACAAUCACACUCACAUCAAGAACAAUGACUUAAUAUCAGAUUAAGAAUCAUCAUGUUUCAAUGGACCAUUUUAUCAUUUACGAAGUACACAUGCAGAAAUUGUAAUCAAAAUAUAAAGUCUAUAAUUCAUGAGAAGAAGAAAUUUAAUACCUUUUGGUGGAACGAAAAGGAAGAGAAGCUCCUCUGCUGCAGAUUGAACACGAUGUGGUCACCAGAAGCAUUGUCGCAUGUCGGACAUCUAACGGCCAUUGUCGGAGCUCAAUCUCUUCCUGCGGCCAUCAUCGGAGCUCCAUCUCUUCCCACGGCCAUCGUCGGAGCUCCAUCUCUUCCCACGGCCAGAGCUCCAUCGCUUCCCACGGCCAUCGUCGUCAUCGCUUCCCACGGCCAUCAUCGUCAUCGCUUCCCACAGCCAUCGUCGUCAUCUCUCAUUCUCUCUCUUUCGUUUUGUUUUCAGGUGACGAAAGCAACUGAAGCUUCUAGCGGUUCAUCUGGGCUAUCCCGCGGUUCAUCUGGGCCAUCCCGCUUUUAACCCGGUACCGUGCAAGCCCCAUCCCGCAAAGCCCGCUUUUUUGCGGGUCAUAAAUUCCUAGGCCCAAACCCGCCCCGCACCAAACCCUUUUGGGCCAGGCCCGCGGUCCAAUACCCAGUUUGCCAUCCCUACUCAUAUGUCCCAGACGUGAGUGCCAUAUUUUUGUCUUGUCAGUUUCUGCCCUUGACACAUUCGCUUCUUCUUUCAUAACUGUUCCUUGCAAGUAAUACAAUCCUUCAUGGUACUUACCGGAUAAAAUCUCUUUCCCAUCUUUGAAGAAACGUAUUAAGAAGUUUUCUCCUUCGUAUUUGCAACCUGCUCGUUCUAGCAUCCCGUAGGAUAUUAGAUUCCUGCUCAUAUUAGGCAUAUAUCUUACAUCUGUAAGAAUAACCACGGUUCCGUCGGGUCUCACGAUCCUUAUCUUGCCAAUCCCUUUGACGUCGCAGUGAGUGUUGUUUGCCAUCAAAACUUUUCCUCCUUGAAAUUCGACUAGGUCAAAUAGAACGUCUUUAUUGGGUGUCAUAUGGAAAGAACAACCAGAAUCCAUGACCCAUUCUGAACCGGCGUCGUGUGUACUAACUGUUAGUACAAAUGGCUGCUUAGGCUCUUCAGCUACAUUAGCAGCUUUAUGCGUUUUCUUUUCUGGACAUUCUCGCUUCCAAUGUCCUUCCUUCCCGCAUGUCCAGCAUCCUUUGUUGUUCUUAUCGUAUCUAGGCUUUGAUUUAGAUCGCCCGUGCCUGCUUUUAGAUCUGCCUUUACCGUUUCUGUUUCCUCCUUUAUUAAAUGAUCUUCCCCUGUCUUCCACGUAUAGUCCUUCAUCUUGUGAUUUUGAAAGCUUUCCACUUUCAAGUAACUCUCGUUCCUUAGACCUUGCGGCACCUGUCACUUCAUUGAUCUUGAGAGUGUCUCUGCCAUAUUUGAGAGUUUCCUUAAGAUGAUCAUACAUACGUGGCAUUGAGUUUAGUAACAGAAUAGCUUGAACUUCUUCUGAGACAUCCACGUUCAAGUUACUUAGGUCUGCUACUAACUUUAGAAAAUCAUCAACGUUUGCAUCUAUGUCCUUAGAAUCGUUCAUCUUGAACGUGUAGAACUUAUGUUGUAAGUAGAUACGAUUCGGCAAAGAGGUUUCUGUGUACAGCGUGUUUAAUGCGGUCCACAUUGCAGCAGCGGUUUCACAAUGGCUGAUCUUCCGUAGAACUUGGUUACCUACGUUGACGAUGAUGAGAUCUUUGGCUUUCUCCGACUUUUCAAGUUUAACGGGAUCAAUUUUUGAGCUUGAUUCCGUAGUUCCAUCUCCUGUGACUUUCGUAUCUCCUUCUGCUUCCUCUUUUGGCGGAUCCAACAGAAGGUUCUCAUCAGUUAGAAUGUCCUUUAGCCCUAGGACUCCAAAGUGAGCCAUCAUACGAACUUUCCACAGCGAGAAAUCUCCAGUUCCUUCGAACCUAUCAAUUUCGAUCCUGGUUUUCCCCAUCCCUUAAGCACCUGCAAUCUAACCUGGAUUGCUCUGAUACCACUUGUUAGGAAUUCAAUCCAACUUGUGCUUAUGGAACUCAACGAUCAAUUUGAUAACAAACUCUGUUCUUGGUUUUAUUAACUUUAAAGGUUUCUUUAGAACACAAUAUAGAUCACAAGACAACUCUUAUGCAAAUAGCAAAGCCUAACUUGUUCUUUCUAUAUCUUGUAUUCUGUGUAUAUUCGGAUAAUCCUAAAAGCUAUGACUACCUCCCUAUUUAUAGUCCCCAGACUUUCCUAUUACUAAUUGCCUUAGCAAUUUAGUUUAACCGACAUAAUAACGUGAAAAGGAAAACUAACGUCUUUCCUUUAUUGUGCAGGUAUAGCUUAUUGGGCUGAGAUUGAGUUUGGCCCAUAUUCUCACAGAGGAGAAAGACAAGAAGAAGAGAGACGUCACAGUUCGAGCAAUAGAGGAUAAUAUAUGAGCUAAUAUUACUCAUUCAAUGGUUCAUAUAUGAGCUUUAUAUGUUAAAAUCAAAGGAAUACUAAUUUUACCAUAUAAACUUGAUACCAUUUCCAAAUUUACUUUUAAAUGAUUAACACUUUCAUAAAUGUCUUACAUUUUUGACAAAAAAAAAGACUGUACUAAUCAUCCUAAAGAAUUUAUAAAACAUUUGUAAAGAUGUGUAUACGUAUGGAAUAGUUUAUUUUUCUGGUAAGCCUCUUAAGUCUUAAGCUUCGCUAUCUGCGCGGAUGUUUGUUUUUACUUUUUUUUUUAUAAAUAAAUAUUUAUUUGUAUAAGUGAUAAUAUAUAUUUUUAAAUUUAUCCGUUCAAAUAAUUGUUUAAUAUAACAUUUUUAAAAAUACUAAUUUUAUAGUUUAUAUUGUGAUUUUUUUUUCAUCAACAAACAGACUCAUAUAGAUUCUAUAGUUUAUAUUGUGAUAUCAUCCAUAUUUUUAGAAUCUGACCAGACGAUUGAGUAAAAACUUGUUAGUAUUAUU
Molecule: long non-coding RNA, 11233 nt
Filed under: Brassica rapa (field mustard)
Lineage: Eukaryota; Viridiplantae; Streptophyta; Magnoliopsida; Brassicales; Brassicaceae
Description: long non-coding RNA (BRAP_LNC007195)
Source: RNAcentral